GAGUCUGACAUGCGUGCGAGUCGACGGGUUCUGAAACCUGGGAUGCGCAAGGAAGCUGACGAGCGGGAGGCCUUCACGGGCUGCACCACUGGCCGACCUUGAUCUUCUGUGAAGGGUUCAAGUUGGAGCACGCCUGUCGGGACCCGAAAGAUGCUGAACUAUGCCUGAGCGGGGCGAAGCCAGAGGAAACUCUGGUGGAGGCUCGAAGCGAUACUGACGUGCAAAUCGUUCAUCUGACUUGGUUAUAGGGGUGAAAGACUAAUCGAACCAUCUAGUAGCUGGUUCCCUCUGAAGUUUCACUCAGGAUAGCUGGAGCCCAUUACGAGUUCUAUCGGGUAAAGCCAAUGAUUAGAGGCAUCGGGGGCGCAACACCCUCGACCUAUUCUCAAACUUUAAAUAGGUAGGACGGCACGACUGCUCCGGUGAGCCGUCCCAUGGAAUCGGGAGCUCCAAGUCGGCCAUUUUUGCUAAGCAGAACUGGCGAUGCGGGAUGAACCUGUCACGGAACCGUCCAAAUUAUAAGAGCACAAGUACAAAAACAAUCACCGAAGCGAUCAAUUUAUCAUACUUGAGCCCAUAU
Molecule: non-coding RNA, 580 nt
Filed under: Sorghum bicolor (sorghum)
Lineage: Eukaryota; Viridiplantae; Streptophyta; Magnoliopsida; Poales; Poaceae
Description: Eukaryotic large subunit ribosomal RNA
Rfam family: Eukaryotic large subunit ribosomal RNA
Source: Rfam by way of RNAcentral